CUCCAACCCUCGCAGCUCACUGCAAUACCGACAUAAAACAAAAAGCAAAAAAAAAACAAAAAAUCAACCAAGAGGACCUGAUAUUUUCCAGAAAAGAACGGAAGAUGCUGAUGCUGCAUGGUGAUCUUCAGUGCUCAUAACUUCGUAUGGAUUCAUUCUCGGGCCAAUACUGGAUUUUGUUCCUGUGCAAUAUAGCAUAUACAUAUACACAUUGCAUUAAAAUGACACAGACAGCCUAUCUUUCCACUGUCGUCAUUGCAUUAACAAGACUUUUAUUAGCCAUAUUUUGUAUAUUUUAUAAAAGUGCUCAUAUCUUUUAGAAAACAUAUUCUUUUUUCUAUUCUUUUUAUUGUUUGUCAUUUAAUUUAACUCUUCUUGAGAUUUACUAAAUUCGAUUUAGGGUGAAAAUGCUUUAACAUAAAAUGAUAAAAUUAAGCAAAAAUCUCAAGUGAUAGUGUAUUUUGAGAAAAUGUUUAUUUUGUUUAAACCUGUUUAUUUUUCCAGAUGGGUCUCUCAACUAUUGAUCUAUAUGUGCAUCAGUUUCUUGUACCAUGUAUCAACUUGUACCAUGAAAUGUUUACUCUUUUUUUUUUUUUUUUUUUUUUUGAGAGGUAAUGUUGAGAGGUAAUAUUAAUCCAUAAAAAAAUCCACCAAUUUA
Long non-coding RNA from Myripristis murdjan (pinecone soldierfish), 658 nucleotides. RefSeq lists it as uncharacterized. The transcript has 2 exons. NCBI's taxonomy places the organism in Eukaryota, Metazoa, Chordata, Actinopteri, Holocentriformes, Holocentridae. The record is from RefSeq and is a predicted model, not a curated record.